GACAGAGGGUGCGAACGUUGCUCGGAAUCACUGGGCGUAAAGCGCGUGUAGGCGGGCGAUCAAGUCAGGUGUGAAAUCCCUGGGCUCAACCCAGGAACUGCAUCUGAAACUGGUUGCCUUGAGUGUUGGAGAGGGAAGCGGAAUUCCUGGUGUAGAGGUGAAAUUCGUAGAUAUCAGGAGGAACACCGGUGGCGAAGGCGGCUUCCUGGACAAUUACUGACGCUGAGACGCGAAAGCGUGGGGAGCAAACAGG
This 253-nucleotide ribosomal RNA is filed under the name uncultured bacterium. RNAcentral's name for it is "partial 16S ribosomal RNA". It matches the Rfam family "Bacterial small subunit ribosomal RNA", at positions 524 to 776 of the family's 1533-position model. The record is from RNAcentral.